UUAAAGAAAUUGAUUUAAAAUUAAGGAUGCAGGUGUUUGAGGAUGCCCUGUUUUGAACAAACAAUGCAAUAAAAUGCUUGGCUUUGGAUUUUUCCAGGUGUUCUGUGAGAAAAGGCAAAGGGGGAAGCUUCCUGGGGAUUUAAAGAGACAGCCACACCUCCUCAUGCAGUGCCAGCAUCAUCCCUGAGACAGGAUGGUGGAGGUUGGAGUGAAUGGAUUCAGCCAUAUUGUGAACCUGGUUACCAAGACUACCUUCAACUCUGGCAGAGUGAAAGGUGUUGCCAUCAGUGACCUCUUCAUUGACCUCAACUACAUGGUCUCUAUGUUCCGGUAUAACUCUACUCAUGCCAAGAUCCAUGGCAGUCAAGGCUGAGCAUAGGGAAUUUGUCCUCAAUGGAGCAAGAUCCCACCAGCCUUAAACGGGGUGUUACUGCUGCCAAGAAUACUGUGGAGUCUACUGGUGUCUUCACCAGCUUGGAGAAGAUUAGGACCCACUUGAAGGGUGGUGUCAAAGGCUCAUCACCUCUGCCUGUUUUGCUGAAGUCCCCAUGCAUGUGAUGGGUGUGAACCCUGAGAAGUAUGACAACUCACUCAAGAUUGUCAGCAGUGCUUCAUGCACCAACUGCUUAGCUUUCCUGGCCAAGGUCAUCCAUGACAACUUUGGCAUUGUGGAAGGACUCAUGACCAUACUCCAUGCCAUCACCAGUAGCCAGAAGACUGUAGACUACCCCCUGGAAACCUGUGGCAUGGUAGCCAAGGGGCUGCCCAGGACUUCAUCUCAGCAUUCACUGGUGCUACCAAGGCUGUAGACAAAGCCAUUGCAGAACUGAAUGGGAAGCUCACUGGUAUGGCCUUCUGGCCUGUGUGUCUAUCCCCAGUAUGUUUACAGUGGAUCUGACAUGCUCCCUGGAGAAAGCUGGUUGUGAAGCAGUCUUCAGAGAGCCCACUAAAGGGCAUUCUGGGCUACACUGAGGACCAAGUUAUCUCCUGUGAUUCUUCCAGUUCUACUGCUUGAGUUGGCAUUACUUUUAAUGACAACUUCAUAAAUACCAUUUUCUGAUAGGACAACAGAUACAGCUUAGCUAUAGCAACCUGGUGGUGAACCCCAUGGCCUACGUAGCCUCCAAGGAGUAAGAAUUCCUGUACCACAUGUCCCAGCAACAGCAUGAGAGGAAGAGCGAGACCCGUAGCUGCUGAAGGAGUUUCUGCCCCAACUCAGUCCUCAACACUAAGCAUUUCUCCUCACAGUUUCCAUCCCAGAUCCCCAGAAGAAAGAAAGUGGCUUUGGGAACACUACUUUCUUGAAUGCCAUCAAUAAAGCUCUGUGUACCCUUCCAAUAUAUAUGUCUAAGUCAAAUAUAUUUUAUUCACAUUAAUAAAUAUCAACAGAAUAA
This is a non-coding RNA of Rattus norvegicus (Norway rat), 1394 nucleotides long. Lineage: Eukaryota; Metazoa; Chordata; Mammalia; Rodentia; Muridae. The record is from RefSeq and is a predicted model, not a curated record.